AUUGAACGCUGGCGGCGUGCUUAACACAUGCAAGUCGUGCGGUAACAGGCGUAGCAAUACGUGCUGACGAGCGGCGAACGGGUGCGUAAUACAUGGGAAUCUGCCCUUUAGUGGGGAAUAACCCGGCGAAAGCCGGGCUAAUGCCGCAUAAGAUCUUCGGAUGAAAGCGGGGGAUCGUAAGACCUCGCGCUGAUGGAUGAGCCCAUGUCGGAUUAGCUAGUGGUGAGGUAACGGCUCACCAAGGCGACGAUCCGUAGCUGGUCUGAGAGGGCGGCCAGCCACACUGGGACUGAGACACGGCCCAGACUCCUACGGGAGGCAGCAGUGGAGGAUAUUGGACAAUGGGGGAAACCCUGAUCCAGCGACGCCGCGUGUGUGAAGAAGGCCUGCGGGUUGUAAAGCACUUUCGGU
RNAcentral lists this ribosomal RNA (411 nucleotides) under uncultured bacterium. Its description in RNAcentral is "bacterial SSU rRNA". It matches the Rfam family "Bacterial small subunit ribosomal RNA", at positions 30 to 440 of the family's 1533-position model. The record is from RNAcentral.